Lagenorhynchus albirostris (white-beaked dolphin) is the source of this 469-nucleotide long non-coding RNA. RefSeq lists it as uncharacterized. The record is from RefSeq and is a predicted model, not a curated record. The transcript is spliced from 3 exons. NCBI's taxonomy places the organism in Eukaryota, Metazoa, Chordata, Mammalia, Artiodactyla, Delphinidae.
CGACAAACACCAACAUGUUUGCCAGUUGUGAAGCGGUGGAAGUGUGCUUUAUUGUUGCUGUCAUUACCAUCACCCUCAGAUUAGGAAACUGAGGCUCUGAGAAGGUAAAUGACUUGCCCAAGGACACAGAGUAAGGUGCAGAACUGGGAGUCCAACCCAGGAUGUGGUGAACUCCCCCCAAAACCUCCCAGCAUUUGAGUUGUGCAGGGAACAGAGAUGGGUGUGUUCCGUGGGCUCAGUGCACGGGAAUGCGCAGCUCCUGCGCUUUCCUCCAUCCUGGAAAAGGCUUGCUGAGCAUUUCACUGUCAGGACAAUACGACAGAGUCUGAAGAAGAUGGUGUGCUCUUGCUGCCAAGACAAAGGAGAACGCUGUCCCAGGUUCCUGCUCCCCUCCUCUAUCAGUCUCCUCUCACUGCAUCCUGUCUCCCCACCUCCACCCCACUCCCACCCAAAAGAAAGCUAGAUUCUG